AUUUAUGGAACCAUCCUCAGGAUAAGACGGAAAGGCGAUGAAAGAGGCAGAGGGAAUUCUGCAGAUGCUGGAAAUUCAAGCAACAUACAUCAAAGUUGCUGAUGAACGCAGCAGGCCAAGCAGCAUCUCUAGGAAGAGGUGCAGUCGACGUUUCAGGCCGAGACCCUUCGUCAGGACUAACUGAAGGAAGACAAAUAAAUGAAAACAGAUAUGAACAUCACUCAGAAGCAGAGAAACCUCAAUAGACAAGCCCUCAUGACCUUAGUAUCUGAUUUUUAAAUGUCUCCAAUUCAAAUGACCUGAAAGGUUGAAUCAGUUUUUGCUUCUGCGGAUGCUGCCUGACUAGCCUAUUCUUUUUUAUCUUAACUCAGAUUUCCAAUCUCAGCAGCUUUCUGCUUCUUGAUAUAUCAGCUGCUGAAAGAAAAGAGGUUUUUUAUGGUUGUUCAUAAAAUAUUAAACUGAUAUCAUUUUUCCUGAUAAUGCUGACAUCCAGCACUUUCUGGUUUUGUUCCAUUAUUCGAAUCUAGCCAUAGUAUAACAACACGUAGCAAUGACAAUGCGCUGUAACUACAAGCUUUGCCUCGAUGUCAGCCAAACAAAAAGUCUGGUCGUGGACUGAAGGGGAGUGACGUGCGCACUCAUCUUUAUAUCAAUGGUACUGAAAUUGAGAGGGUUGACAGCUUCAAGCUGCUAGAAGUGAAUAGCAUGAAUUGCCUGUCUUGGUCUAGCACAUAGACACUAUGGCCAAGAAAGCACACGAGCACUUCAAUGUGCUCAGGAGGCUAAACAAUUCCAGCAUUUCCUCAUUGGCACUAACCAAUUUUUAUAGAAUGCAUAAAAUGCAUCUUAUCCAGAUCUGUCCAAGACCACAGAUUCUGCAGAGUUGUUUACACAGCUCGGGGCAUCAAGUAAAUCGACCUCCCCUCUGGAUGAACUCCACUUCUUGCUGUCCCAGUAAAACAACCAACAUAAUCAAAGACCCCUCCCAUCCUAGACAUUCUGACUUCUUCCUCCUCCCAUCAGAAGAGGAUACAAAAGCCUGUAAGCACGUAGCACCAGGCUCCGGGAUAGUUUCUAUCCCACUGUUGUAAGCCUAUUGAAUGGACCUCUUGUCUGAUAAAGUUGAACACUUGACCUCACAAUCUACCUCAUCAUUGUUUUGCAUGUUAUUUCCAGCCUGCUUUGCAUUUUCUUUGUAAGGGCAGCUCUUUAUGAAUCUCAAGAUUGUUCUAGUAUAAAUAUUGAUAAUAAUUUUACUUUGACUUUGAACAUUUUACAUUCUGUAAUUUUUAUUGCUUUUACUACCUUGAUGCGCUGUCAUGAUGAAAUGAUCUAUAUGGAUGGCAGGUAAAAUGAAAUGCUCACUGUAUGUUGGUAUGUAUGACAAUAACAAACCAAUUUAACCAAUGUGUGAG
Molecule: long non-coding RNA, 1415 nt
Organism: Mobula hypostoma (lesser devil ray)
Lineage: Eukaryota; Metazoa; Chordata; Chondrichthyes; Myliobatiformes; Myliobatidae
Exons: 3
Source: RefSeq, a predicted model, not a curated record